This 253-nucleotide ribosomal RNA is filed under the name uncultured bacterium. RNAcentral's name for it is "partial 16S ribosomal RNA". It matches the Rfam family "Bacterial small subunit ribosomal RNA", at positions 524 to 776 of the family's 1533-position model. The record is from RNAcentral.
GACGAAGGGGGCUAGCGUUGUUCGGAAUUACUGGGCGUAAAGCGCGUGUAGGCGGUUGUUCAAGUCAGGUGUGAAAGCCUUGAGCUCAACUCAAGAAAUGCACUUGAUACUGGAUGACUAGAGGACCGGAGAGGAUAGUGGAAUUCCCAGUGUAGUGGUGAAAUUUGAUAAAAUUAGAGAGAAUACCAAUGGCGUAAGCAACGAUCUGGUCCUUAACUGAUACUGAGGUGCGAAGGUAUGGGGAGCGAAUAGG